GACGAACGUUGGCGGCGUGCUUAAUACAUGCAAGUCAACUGAAGCAGUGGUAGCAAUAUCGCUGUGGAGGUGGCGCACGGGUGAGUAACACGUAGGUAAUCUGCCUUCAGGUCUGGCAUAACUCCGGGAAACCGGGGCUAAUAGCAGAUGAUGCAGCGGCUCGACAUCGAGACAGUUGUUAAAGCUAUGGCGCCUGAAGAUGAGCCUGCGUCUGGUUAGCUAGUUGGCGGGGUAACGGCCCACCAAGGCAACGAUCAGUAGCUGGUCUGAGAGGAUGAUCAGCCACACUGGAACUGAGACACGGUCCAGACUCCUACGGGAGGCAGCAGUAAGGAAUAUUGCUCAAUGGGAGAAAUCCUGAAGCAGCAACGCCGCGUGAGGGACGAAGGGCUUUUGCUUGCAAACCUCUGUAGUGAGAGAAAAAAAUCCCAAUCUUUGGGACAUGAUGGUAUCUCAAAAGUAAGCCCCGGCUAACUACGUG
This 481-nucleotide ribosomal RNA is filed under the name uncultured bacterium. RNAcentral's name for it is "partial 16S ribosomal RNA". It matches the Rfam family "Bacterial small subunit ribosomal RNA", at positions 28 to 507 of the family's 1533-position model. The record is from RNAcentral.